This 254-nucleotide ribosomal RNA is filed under the name uncultured bacterium. Its description in RNAcentral is "partial 16S ribosomal RNA". It matches the Rfam family "Bacterial small subunit ribosomal RNA", at positions 524 to 776 of the family's 1533-position model. The record is from RNAcentral.
UACGUAGGGUGCGAGCGUUGUCCGGAAUUAUUGGGCGUAAAGAGCUCGUAGGCGGUCUGUCGCGUCGAUCGUGAAAACUUGGGGCUUAACCCUGAGCUUGCGGUCGAUACGGGCAUGACUGGAGUUCGGCAGGGGAGACUGGAAUUCCUGGUGUAGCGGUGAAAUGCGCAGAUAUCGGGAGGAACACCUAUUGCGAAGGCAGCUCGCUGGGACGUUACUGACGCUGAGACGCGAAAGCGUGGGGAGCAAACAGG